GCAGGGCUGACACGGAGUAGACGCUGAGGUCCCCGGCCUGGGGGCCACUGCUGACCUUGGAGAAGAUGCAUUCCUGGCCGCGGAAAGCGGAGAACUGGGUCUCGUUUAGCACCAGCUGGUGGUGGAGGUGGUGGGUGGGCGUCUCCUGGCCAGGGCUGCCGGAGCCCUUCACGCUGUACUUGUCUGGCUGGCCUCGCUCGUCCAGAUCCUCCUCCUCAUCCGAAAAGAAGUAAGCCACCCCGACGCGCAGCUCGUCUUUCUCGAUCCCCGAGGGGUCCCCGGUCGGCAGCUCGCUGUAAUUCAGGGAACACCAGCAACCAUGCACACACAGGGGUGCCAGGACGGGAAGAGUGCAUCACCUCUUCUCUGACAACUGCUCUGCUACUCCAGCCCUUCCAGUAAUCUAGGAGCACACCCACCUCACCUAUGG
Long non-coding RNA from Strigops habroptila (Kakapo), 430 nucleotides. RefSeq lists it as uncharacterized. NCBI's taxonomy places the organism in Eukaryota, Metazoa, Chordata, Aves, Psittaciformes, Psittacidae. The record is from RefSeq and is a predicted model, not a curated record. The transcript is spliced from 3 exons.